CCUACGGGAGGCUGCAGUGAGGAAUAUUGGUCAAUGGGCGGAAGCCUGAACCAGCCAAGUAGCGUGCGGGAUGAUGGCCCUACGGGUCGUAAACCGCUUUUGCACGGGGAUAACACCCUCCACUUGUGGAGGUCUGCAGGUACCGUGCGAAUAAGGGCCGGCUAAUUCCGUGCCAGCAGCCGCGGUAAUACGGAAGGCCCGAGCGUUAUCCGGAUUCAUUGGGCUUAAAGGGAGCGUAGGCGGGCGUUCAAGUCAGCUGUAAAAUCGCGCGGCUCAACCGCGCCCCGCAGUUGAAACUGGACGCCUUGAGUGGACGACAGGCAGGCGGAAUUCGUGGUGUAGCGGUGAAAUGCAUAGAUAUCACGAGGAACCCCGAUUGCGAAGGCAGCAUGCCGGGGUGCGACUGACGCUGAGGCUCGAAGGUGCGGGUAUCGAACAGGAUUAGAUACCCUUGUAGUC
RNAcentral lists this ribosomal RNA (459 nucleotides) under uncultured bacterium. RNAcentral's name for it is "partial 16S ribosomal RNA". It matches the Rfam family "Bacterial small subunit ribosomal RNA", at positions 338 to 795 of the family's 1533-position model. The record is from RNAcentral.